AUCCAGCUGAUGAGUCCCCAAAAAGGAAGAAACGCGCGUUCUGGAU
Molecule: non-coding RNA, 46 nt
Organism: Schistosoma mansoni
Lineage: Eukaryota; Metazoa; Platyhelminthes; Trematoda; Strigeidida; Schistosomatidae
Source: Rfam